AAGGUGAAUAAAGAGGCGGUGGAGACAGGACCCGAGACAACAGGAAAGGGGAAAACCGAAAAGAAGAAAUCCUCUAAGAACAAAGGAGAAAUAGAUGGAAAGAAACCAUGUAAGAGCAAAGUGGCUCCCCUUGGCUCUGAUGGUGCAGUGGCUGCAGAUGAGAAAAGGAAGAAACCAUCUCUCCUCCAGCGUAUCUUCAAUGCCUUUG
Salvelinus sp. IW2-2015 is the source of this 208-nucleotide non-coding RNA. The record is from RefSeq and is a predicted model, not a curated record. NCBI's taxonomy places the organism in Eukaryota, Metazoa, Chordata, Actinopteri, Salmoniformes, Salmonidae.